RNAcentral lists this ribosomal RNA (483 nucleotides) under uncultured bacterium. RNAcentral describes it as "bacterial SSU rRNA". It matches the Rfam family "Bacterial small subunit ribosomal RNA", at positions 27 to 504 of the family's 1533-position model. The record is from RNAcentral.
GAUUGAACGCUGGCGGCAGGCUUAACACAUGCAAGUCGAGCGGAGAGAGGUAGCUUGCUACUGAUCUUAGCGGCGGACGGGUGAGUAAUGCUUAGGAAUCUGCCUAUUAGUGGGGGACAACAUUUCGAAAGGAAUGCUAAUACCGCAUACGUCCUACGGGAGAAAGCAGGGGAUCUUCGGACCUUGCGCUAAUAGAUGAGCCUAAGUCGGAUUAGCUAGUUGGUGGGGUAAAGGCCUACCAAGGCGACGAUCUGUAGCGGGUCUGAGAGGAUGAUCCGCCACACUGGGACUGAGACACGGCCCAGACUCCUACGGGAGGCAGCAGUGGGGAAUAUUGGACAAUGGGCGCAAGCCUGAUCCAGCCAUGCCGCGUGUGUGAAGAAGGCCUUAUGGUUGUAAAGCACUUUAAGCGAGGAGGAGGCUACUUUAGUUAAUACCUAGAGAUAGUGGACGUUACUCGCAGAAUAAGCACCGGCUAACUCU